CAACCCUCAAGCGCUGUUCCGCUUGGAAUUGGGGCUCUUGCAGCGAGCACCUAGUGCCCCGCAAGCCCUGAAAUUCAGCGGCGAGCCCGUCAGCACACCGAGCGCAGUAAUUAUACUUUCCGCUUAGGGCGUGCGGCGCGGCGCAGCCGACCUCUAAACUUUCCAA
This 166-nucleotide unclassified non-coding RNA is filed under the name uncultured Togniniaceae. RNAcentral's name for it is "sequence contains ITS2". Lineage: Eukaryota; Fungi; Ascomycota; Sordariomycetes; Diaporthales. The record is from RNAcentral.